RNAcentral lists this ribosomal RNA (801 nucleotides) under uncultured bacterium. RNAcentral describes it as "bacterial SSU rRNA". It matches the Rfam family "Bacterial small subunit ribosomal RNA", at positions 63 to 862 of the family's 1533-position model. The record is from RNAcentral.
CUAACGGUAGAGGGGGCAACCCCUCGAGAGUGGCGAACGGGUGAGUAAUAUAUCGGAACGUGCCCAGUCGUGGGGGACAACGUAGCGAAAGUUACGCUAAUACCGCAUACGAUCUAAGGAUGAAAGCGGGGGACUCGCAAGAGCCUCGCGCGAUUGGAGCGGCCGAUAUCAGAUUAGGUAGUUGGUGGGGUAAAGGCUCACCAAGCCAACGAUCUGUAGCUGGUCUGAGAGGACGACCAGCCACACUGGAACUGAGACACGGUCCAGACUCCUACGGGAGGCAGCAGUGGGGAAUUUUGGACAAUGGACGCAAGUCUGAUCCAGCCAUUCCGCGUGCAGGAUGAAGGCCCUCGGGUUGUAAACUGCUUUUGUACAGAACGAAAAGGUCUCUCCUAAUACGAGAGGCUCAUGACGGUACUGUAAGAAUAAGCACCGGCUAACUACGUGCCAGCAGCCGCGGUAAUACGUAGGGUGCAAGCGUUAAUCGGAAUUACUGGGCGUAAAGCGUGCGCAGGCGGUUAUAUAAGACAGAUGUGAAAUCCCCGGGCUCAACCUGGGAACUGCAUUUGUGACUGUAUAGCUAGAGUACGGUAGAGGGGGAUGGAAUUCCGCGUGUAGCAGUGAAAUGCGUAGAUAUGCGGAGGAACACCGAUGGCGAAGGCAAUCCCCUGGACCUGUACUGACGCUCAUGCACGAAAGCGUGGGGAGCAAACAGGAUUAGAUACCCUGGUAGUCCACGCCCUAAACGAUGUCAACUGGUUGUUGGGUCUUAACUGACUCAGUAACGAAGCUAACGCGUGA